Molecule: long non-coding RNA, 1146 nt
Filed under: Parus major (Great Tit)
Lineage: Eukaryota; Metazoa; Chordata; Aves; Passeriformes; Paridae
Description: lncRNA (ENSPMJG00000003226.1)
Source: RNAcentral
AUGCUGCUGCACCCAGGGCCUGCAGCACUUCACCAUGCUUCCUCAGCUGCAGAGAUGCAGGACUGCCCUUGUCCCCAGUGGAAGUGCCUGGCCAUUGGGCCUGCAAAUGUGGCAGCCCUGUCACAGUCAGUUCUGCCACCCCAACACCGAAAGAAGUGCCCCACUACUCUCCUGCCGUACACAGUGGUCAUACUGAGGGCUGGUGUCCCUUGGAGAACAAAGCCCAACCAACAGAGAACACCAGGUUGCCAAUCAGGGGAACCCCAUGUCCCCCAUGAGAGUGGGGUUUGCCCACCAUACUGGAGACCCCAAACACACCUCCCUUGCCCCCCACCCCCAGCCAACCUCUUUGGGGUGUGUACACCAUGCCCAGAAGCACAGGGGCACAGCAGCACCAGCCACACGACACACCCCUGUGUCAGGGGAUCUUUCUCAACUGCUCACAAACUGUAUCGAAUUUGUGAUGAAAUCCCACCAAACUUAGGCCAGAGCUCAACCAGGCACAGCUGCACAGAAGCACAGAUGCCACCUUUGUCACUGCUCCCCUUCUGCACCUUACAAGUGCUGGCUGUCCUUCAGGGUGGCUGUCUGCACCAACACAGCCUUGCUCCUUGCUCAGGUUCACAUCUGGGUUUAGAGGAAUCCCAGCCUCCCCGAGAAAAACCCCUGACUCUUCUGCUCAGUCAUCCAGUGUCUCUGGGUACUGAAAAACAGGUACUAGUAGAGCUGUCGUGUCAGUCUGCAGGUUUAUUGUGGAGCAGGUUUCCCUUGAGAGUACAGAAAAGAAAAGGUGAUGAAAUUCCAGAGCAGUGGCGUACGUGUGCCUCUCACCAGGUACACAAUGCACAACCAGUAAAAUAUUCCAAACACGUAUCACAGGCUUCAGACAAUUGGGCUACAACACUGCAGGGUAACAUUUGUGUCAGCCCUGCUCUCCCACUGUGGCAGCAGCGGGAUUGGGUAGGGCCAGAAUCCACUGGGAACACCAACGGCCAUGGUGAGCCCAAGAGGAUGCAGGCACAGCGAGGACCAGGCAUAAAGGUCAGAGGAUGCUGCAGCAGAACAGCACCUUCAGGAUCUGGACUGUUGACUCAUCCACUGGAAGAGCUCCAUGCAGUCAUUAUUAACAGGAAAUCUGUUUCUUGA